ACGGGUGAGUAACACGUAAGUAACCUGCCUUUAAGACGAGGAUAACAAUUGGAAACAGUUGCUAAGACUGGAUAGGAAAUUAGAAGGCAUCUUUUAAUUUUUAAAAGACCUUUUUCGAAAGGUAUACUUAAAGAGGGGCUUGCGGCACAUUAGUUAGUUGGUAGGGUAAAAGCCUACCAAGACCAUGAUGUGUAGCUGGACUGAGAGGUUGAACAGCCACAUUGGGACUGAGACACGGCCCAAACUCCUACGGGAGGCAGCAGUAGGGAAUUUUCGGCAAUGGAGGAAACUCUGACCGAGCAACGCCGCGUGAACGAUGAAGUAUUUCGGUAUGUAAAGUUCUUUUAUUGGAGAAGAAAAAAUAGUGGAAAAACUAUCUUGACGAUAUUCAAUGAAUAAGCCCCGGCAAACUAUGUGCCAGCAGCCGCGGUAAUACAUAGGGGGCGAGCGUUAUCCGGAAUUAUUGGGCGUAAAGGGUGCGUAGGCGGUUUGGUAAGUCUAUAGUUUAAUUUCAGUGCUUAACACUGUUCUGCUAUAGAAACUAUCAGACUAGAGUGAGAUAGAGGCAAGUGGAAUUCCAUGUGUAGCGGUAAAAUGCGUAAAUAUAUGGAGGAACACCAGAGGCGUAGGCGGCUUGCUGGGUCUUUACUGACGCUGAGGCACGAAAGCGUGGGGAGCAAACAGGAUUAGAUACCCUGGUAGUCCACGCCGUAAACGAUGAGUACUAAGUGUCGGGGAAACUCGGUACUGAAGUUAACACAUUAAGUACUCCGCCUGAGUAGUACGUACGCAAGUAUGAAACUUAAAGGRAUUGACGGGACUCCGCACAAGCGGUGGAUCAUGUUUGUUUAAUUCGAAGAUACACGAAAAACCUUACCAGGUCUUGACAUACUCUGCAAAGCUAUAGCAAUAUAGUGGAGGUUAUCAGGGAUACAGGUGGUGCAUGGUUGUCGUCAGCUCGUGUCGUGAGAUGUUAGGUUAAGUCCUAAAACGAGCGCAACCCUUGUCACUAGUUGCCAGCAUGUUAUGAUGGGCACUUUAGUGAGACUGCCAAUGAAAAAUUGGAGGAAGGUGAGGAUCACGUCAAAUCAUCAUGCCCCUUAUGAUCUGGGCUACAAACGUGAUACAAUGGCUGUUACAAAGAGUAGCUAAAACGCGAGUUUAUAGCCAAUCUCAUAAAAGCAGUCUCAGUUCGGAUUGAAGUCUGCAACUCGACUUCAUGAAGUUGGAAUCGCUAGUAAUCGCGAAUCAGCAUGUCGCGGUGAAUACGUUCUCGGGGUUUGUACACACCGCCCGUCAAACCACGAAAGUUGGUAAUACUCGAAAACGGUAGCCUAAC
This 1339-nucleotide ribosomal RNA is filed under the name Candidatus Phytoplasma cynodontis. RNAcentral's name for it is "16S ribosomal RNA". It matches the Rfam family "Bacterial small subunit ribosomal RNA", at positions 102 to 1439 of the family's 1533-position model. Lineage: Bacteria; Bacillati; Mycoplasmatota; Mollicutes; Acholeplasmatales; Acholeplasmataceae. The record is from RNAcentral.